Molecule: long non-coding RNA, 1970 nt
Organism: Portunus trituberculatus (swimming crab)
Lineage: Eukaryota; Metazoa; Arthropoda; Malacostraca; Decapoda; Portunidae
Exons: 6
Source: RefSeq, a predicted model, not a curated record
GAAGAAAAAUAAAUAAACAAAUAAAAAGGAAAGAGAGAGAGGGAGGGAAAAAUGCCGGACCGGAUCACGCCCCCUCUCCCCACACACUCAAAGGCGCCCCCCCUGCCCCCCACGUCCCCCUACAAAGGCGCCCCCUCCUUAAAAAUCCCCAAAGUGUUGAAAUCCUUCCAGAAAAAAGAAAAAAACACAAAAAAUGACAAAAAAUCAAAAUACCACCACCAUCACCACCUCAACCACCACCACCACCACAACUACAAACAUUUGCACCAGUACCACCACCACCACCACCACCGCGACACUGCUACUACUACUGCUGCUACGACUGCUGCCACUGGUGUUAGGAAGGUGGUGCGGCCCUCAGCUGGUGUUAAAGGUGGUGUUAAGGAGAAGUGUGGUAGCAGUGGUGGUGGUAGCAGUGGUGGUGGUAGCAGUGGUGGUGGUAGCAGUGGUGGUGGUAGCAGUGGUGGUGUGUUUCUGCAUUCUAGUAAGAUGACCACCACCACCACCACCUCCGCCACCACCACCACCACCACCACUUCGCUCUACCCAGCCUUACCUGACCCAACCAGCUCUCUUAUAGCGCCCCUGUCCCUGGCCCUCCCUAUACCCACCCACGCCCACGCCCACGCCCACGCCCACACCCACACCCACGCCCAGGCACUCCAUCCCUCCCCCUCCUCUCCCUCUCUCUUCUCUGUCUAUGCAAGGAGAGAGUGAAUUAGUUGACCUCCUCACCUGUCCAGUCUGUAUGGAGGAAUAUGGAGGAGGAGGAGGAGGAGGAGGAGGAGGAGGAGGAGGAGGAGGAGGAGGAGGAGGACAGCCACUCUUCCUCCUCUGUCAUCAUAGCGUGUGCAGAAAUUGUCUUCCUAAAUUAAUCAAGACACAUUUGACAAGAGGAGGCAGAGAACAGGCAGAGGUGGUGUGCCCGGAAUGUAGAGUGGUGACGCUGGUUCCCCCUGGCGGCCUGACCCAGAACUUCUACCUCGUCAGUUUGAUAGAAGCGAAGAAGAGGCGCCCAAAGGAAGCCAGCAGCCGGCUGAGGAUGUGGUGUGACACGUGCGGGGGCGUGGCACUCGACAAAUGCGCUGACCACACCUUGUCACACCUGAACCACGUGUUGGAGAGCCUCGCCACAGACUACCACACCCAGCACCGCCACACCGCCACAAUGCUGCAGGAGAGAGUGAGAGAGGAGGGAGAGAAGGUCCUGGAGGUGAGGGAGGCGAUGGAGGAGUUGGACAGAGCUGCCUCCUACGUCAGAGAGAAACUGGAGGAAAGAUUGGAGAAAGUUCCCUCCACCAAACCACCGUUACCUCCCUUCUCAUGGAGGUGCACCAAAUGGAGAGAAAAAUAGACACAAUGGGGGCUAGAAAGGGGGCGGAUUCCCCUUCUUCCCCCUCCCCCUCCUUAACCGGACCCGAACCAUUUGUAUCCGGUUCACAAGCAGCAUCCAGCGGUUCGGAAGGGUGCAGCCUCACAAGAUCCGUAUCCAGUGUUGAAAGUUACAGUUCGAAUUCGGAUAAGUUCGGAAACAGUUCGGAUAAACGGAGCUACACGCUGGAUCGAUACGGUUCUGGCUUGGAUAGAUUCACCUCCACUUCGGAUAAAUUGACCUCUGCUUUAGACAAAUUCGGUUCCAGUUCGGUUAAAUUCGGUUCGGAACGGAAAGGUCCAAAUCCCUACCGGAAAAAUACAGCAUUGAUCUUGGGAUUAGCCAGUUCGGAUUAGGGGGAGAAAUAUCCGGACUAACGUUCAGAACCGGACUGGAGAAGCACGUAUCCGGCCUGGAACGAUCGAAUUCUAGUCCGGCUAAGUACCUGAGUCCGGAUAAAAGGGAGAAAAUAAGCGAACAACCGGACUUCCUCACAGAAACACACAAAUUCGGAUGUGGAAACCAGGAAGGACCGGAUACCUUCAAAUCCGGAAAGGAGAACACCGAAACCGCAUCCGAACUGAACCACAUCGGAUAC